AUGAACGCUGGCGGCGUGCCUCAUCCAUGCCAGUCGAGCGAACAGACGAGGGGCUUGCUCCUCUGACGUUAGCGGCGGACGGGUGAGUAACACGUGGAUAACCUACCUAUAAGACUGGGAUAACUUCGGGAAACCGGAGCUAAUACCGGAUAAUAUAUUGAACCGCAUGGUUCAAUAGUGAAAGACGGUUUUGCUGUCACUUAUAGAUGGAUCCGCGCCGCAUUAGCUAGUUGGUAAGGUAACGGCUUACCAAGGCAACGAUGCGUAGCCGACCUGAGAGGGUGAUCGGCCACACUGGAACUGAGACACGGUCCAGACUCCUACGGGAGGCAGCAGUAGGGAAUCUUCCGCAAUGGGCGAAAGCUUGACGGAGCAACGCCGCGUGAGUGAUGAAGGUCUUCGGAUCGUAAAACUCUGUUAUUAGGGAAGAACAAAUGUGUAAGUAACUAUGCACGUCUUGACGGUACCUAAUCAGAAAGCCACGGCUAACUACGUG
This 496-nucleotide ribosomal RNA is filed under the name uncultured bacterium. Its description in RNAcentral is "partial 16S ribosomal RNA". It matches the Rfam family "Bacterial small subunit ribosomal RNA", at positions 29 to 507 of the family's 1533-position model. The record is from RNAcentral.